GAAAGGCCAAUCAAACCGGGAGAUAGCUGGUUCUCCCCGAAAGCUAUUUAGGUAGCGCCUCGUGAACUCAUCUUCGGGGGUAGAGCACUGUUUCGGCUAGGGGGUCAUCCCGACUUACCAACCCGAUGCAAACUACGAAUACCGAAGAAUGUUAUCACGGGAGACACACGGCGGGUGCUAACGUCCGUCGUGAAGAGGGAAACAACCCAGACCGCCAGCUAAGGUCCCAAAGUCAUGGUUAAGUGGGAAACGAUGUGGGAAGGCACAGACAGCCAGGAUGUUGGCUUAGAAGCAGCCAUCAUUUAAAGAAAGCGUAAUAGCUCACUGGUCGAGUCGGCCUGCGCGGAAGAUGUAACGGGGCUAAACCAUGCACCGAAGCUGCGGCAGCGACACUAUGUGUUGUUGGGUAGGGGAGCGUUCUGUAAGCCUGCGAAGGUG
Molecule: ribosomal RNA, 438 nt
Filed under: Klebsiella pneumoniae
Lineage: Bacteria; Pseudomonadati; Pseudomonadota; Gammaproteobacteria; Enterobacterales; Enterobacteriaceae
Description: bacterial LSU rRNA
Rfam family: Bacterial large subunit ribosomal RNA
Source: RNAcentral